GCCAUCAGCGCAGCUCAAAACAGUUUGCAUCGAACGGCGGCCGAUGCAAGUUCAGUUCGAAGCCAGACAAAAUAAACGUUGAAUUUAGAUAUCGCGCCAUUAAACAAAUAAGUAUUCUUCCUCAAAAAACGAGUCGCAGACUUUAUGUGCAGAACUUCAGAAUUUACAUACAUACAUAAUUAGACCACAGGCAGACGAAACCAUAUAAAAGUUAAUCACGUGUAAAUGCGCACCUCCGCUGACCACGUUUUACAGUAUAUUCGUAAUCAACAUAUUUAUGUAUAAAUAAAUUAAAUAAACAGUGGCACACAGCUAUCGGAGAGCAAGAUGAUUGAGCGUGAAGUCAUACAGUAAGUAUAUAUAU
Long non-coding RNA from Rhagoletis zephyria (snowberry fruit fly), 364 nucleotides. RefSeq lists it as uncharacterized. The record is from RefSeq and is a predicted model, not a curated record. NCBI's taxonomy places the organism in Eukaryota, Metazoa, Arthropoda, Insecta, Diptera, Tephritidae.